CUACGGGCGGCUGCAGUGAGGAAUAUUGCACAAUGGGGGAAACCCUGAUGCAGCAACGCCGCGUGGAGGAUGACGCAUUUCGGUGUGUAAACUCCUUUUAUGAGUCAAGAAAAUGACGGUAGCUCAUGAAUAAGCACCGGCUAACUCCGUGCCAGCAGCCGCGGUAAUACGGAGGGUGCAAGCGUUACUCGGAAUCACUGGGCGUAAAGGACGCGUAGGCGGGCUUGUAAGUCAGGUGUGAAAUCCUACAGCUUAACUGUAGAACUGCACUUGAAACUACGAGCCUAGAGUAUGGGAGGGGCAGAUGGAAUUAGUGGUGUAGGGGUAAAAUCCGUAGAUAUCACUAGGAAUACCGAAAGCGAAGGCGAUCUGCUGGAACAUUACUGACGCUAAGGCGUGAAAGCGUGGGGAGCAAACGGGAUUAGAUACCCCUGUAGUC
RNAcentral lists this ribosomal RNA (439 nucleotides) under uncultured bacterium. RNAcentral's name for it is "partial 16S ribosomal RNA". It matches the Rfam family "Bacterial small subunit ribosomal RNA", at positions 339 to 795 of the family's 1533-position model. The record is from RNAcentral.